This 867-nucleotide ribosomal RNA is filed under the name uncultured Gemmatimonadota bacterium. RNAcentral's name for it is "bacterial SSU rRNA". It matches the Rfam family "Bacterial small subunit ribosomal RNA", at positions 61 to 919 of the family's 1533-position model. The record is from RNAcentral. Lineage: Bacteria; Pseudomonadati; Gemmatimonadota.
GUCGUACGGGACUGGGAGGGGCAACUCUUCCGGUUCAGUGGCAGACGGGUGCGUAACACGUGAGGAACUUGUCCAUCGGUGGGGGACAGCCGGCCCAACGGCCGGUUAAUACCGCAUACGCUCGUUCGGGGGCAUCCCUGGGCGAGGAAAGCAGCCGCAAGGUUGCGCCGGCGGAGGGCCUCGCGGCCUAUCAGCUAGUUGGCGGGGUAACGGCCCACCAAGGCGACAACGGGUAGCUGGUCUGAGAGGAUGGCCAGCCACAUUGGGACUGAGACACGGCCCAGACUCCUACGGGAGGCAGCAGUGGGGAAUCUUGCGCAAUGGCCGCAAGGCUGACGCAGCGACGCCGCGUGUGGGAUGACGGCCUUCGGGUUGUAAACCACUGUCGGGAGGAACGAAUACUCGGCCUCGAAUAGGGGUCCGGGGGUGACGGUACCUCCAAAGGAAGCACCGGCUAACUCCGUGCCAGCAGCCGCGGUAAUACAGAGGGUGCGAGCGUUGUCCGGAAUUACUGGGCGUAAAGGGCGCGUAGGUGGCGCGUUAAGUCGCUGGUGAAAUCCCGCUGCUCACGGCGGGGCUGCCGGCCAGACUGGCGCGCUAGAGCACGGUAAGGGCAGUUGGAAUUCCCGGUGUAGCGAUGGAAUGCGUAGAGAUCGGGAAGAACACCAGUGGCGAAGCGUACUGCUGGGCCGUUGCUGACACUGAGGCGCGACAGCGUGCGGAGCAAACACGAUUAGAUACCCUGGUAGUCCACGCCGUAAACGAUGGACACUAGGCGUCUGGGGGAGCGCCCUCCCGGUGCCGUCGCUAAGCAGUAGUGUCCGCCUGGGGAGACGGCGCAAGCUGAAAUCAAAGAAUUGACAGGGG